Molecule: ribosomal RNA, 429 nt
Filed under: Bacteroidota bacterium
Lineage: Bacteria; Pseudomonadati; Bacteroidota
Description: Bacteroidetes bacterium partial 16S ribosomal RNA
Rfam family: Bacterial small subunit ribosomal RNA
Source: RNAcentral
UAGGGAAUCUUCGGCAAUGGGGGGAACCCUGACCGAGCAACGCCGCGGGAGUGAAGAAGGUUUUCGGAUCGGAAAGCUCUGUUGGUAAGGAAGAACGAGUGUGAGAAUGGAAAGUUCAUACUGUGACGGUACUUAACCAGAAAGGGACGGCUAACUACGUGCCAGCAGCCGCGGGAAUACGUAGGUCCCGAGCGUUGUCCGGAUUUAUUGGGCGUAAAGCGAGCGCAGGCGGUUAGAUAAGUCUGAAGUUAAAGGCAGUGGCUCAACCAUUGUAGGCUUUGGAAACUGUUUAACUUGAGUGCAGAAGGGGAGAGUGGAAUUCCAUGUGUAGCGGUGAAAUGCGUAGAUAUAUGGAGGAACACCGGUGGCGAAAGCGGCUCUCUGGUCUGUAACUGACGCUGCGGCUCGAAAGCGUGGGGAGCGAACAGG